AAAAUUUAGUUAAAUAAAUAACAUUAACUUGUCAAGUUAAAAUUACUAAAAAAAAAAGUAAUUUUUA
This 67-nucleotide transfer RNA is filed under the name Oides livida. RNAcentral describes it as "tRNA-Asp". The record is from RNAcentral. Lineage: Eukaryota; Metazoa; Arthropoda; Insecta; Coleoptera; Chrysomelidae.